Sciurus carolinensis (gray squirrel) is the source of this 1827-nucleotide long non-coding RNA. RefSeq lists it as uncharacterized. The record is from RefSeq and is a predicted model, not a curated record. The transcript has 3 exons. Lineage: Eukaryota; Metazoa; Chordata; Mammalia; Rodentia; Sciuridae.
UGACAGCCGGCUGGGGUUGGACCCUGGGUCCGGCUUCAGCCGCUCACGCCCAGUCCGGUGGGUGCGCCCUGGGGCGGCGCCGCCGCUUGCUCCUCCUCCUCCGCGGGGACACCGCUGCCCUCCUCCGCCCGCAGCCCCCAAGUCUCACCUGCAGAUCUGGGUCGCAGUGCCAGCGAGGUGCUGGGCCGCCAGCGAGGUGCUUGGCCUCCAUCGCACAUCCCUCCGCUGAGCUGCCCAGGGCAGAAACAGAGCAUCGCUGGGGUCCUGGGACCGGAGAGGAGGCGGGGACUUUCCAGCCCUGCGCUCGGGCAAAACCCAGAACGCCGAUCCGAGCCUGGUGUGCGGACGGGUCGGGGCAGAGGCUGUUCCAAAGCGGCCCCGGACGCCAGGACGCCCCUCCGCAGAGAGAAGGUGCUUCACUUGCGGGCACGCGGACUCGGGAGAGCACCUGCGGAGGCCUGUUCACCGUCUGCAAGGACCGCCCUUCUGCAUGCUUUCAUUCUGCUUUCCCUUCCCCACUCACACAGACGUAUUUAGGUCUACUGCUUUAUGUGGAUUUUAGACAUGACAUGCUUCAGAACCACUGGCGAGCUGAGCACCAUCUCCGUCAAGCUGGACUCAGAAUGACUCUGUGGUGGCCCUGAAGCCGCUGUCCACAGCGUUGCCUGUCCCUGCACACCAGUGGGAUGCUGCCUGUGGUCCUGCACUGUUCAGGGAAGAUGCACUGUUGCCCAUUGUGGGCACCAAGCUGUCUGGGUGUCCUGGAGGGAGGCAGGUGUUCCAUGGCGCUGCGCCCACUGCCUGUGUCCACACCACACUGUGUGUUGCAACGGAGCAAGCAGUCAUUCAGCUCACCCCGGGGUGUCCUGCGGGAGGUGUCCCCUUCCUUCUUCCCCAGCACACACUAAGAGGAUUCCCUCCCACACCUGGGUGUCCUGGACAAUAGCCCUGCUGACCCCUGCCCAUCAUGCACCCCUUGUUCCCUGACUGCUUCCUGAGAAUCCUGUUUCACACACCCUUCACAGAUGCAAGGAAAAGAUUUGUAGCAUACUUUAUUUUUUCAGCCUGGGACUCCAAUACAGAGCCUGGUGCAUGGUAGGAGAGCCCUCUAACCUUUGAACACAUCCCCAGUCCAGUUAUUUUCCUUUCUUAGAAGUUAUUUCUAGCUGUAUGGAGUUAGUAAAAACUUAAAGCAGAUAAUAAAACAAAUACAUUCUUAUUUUUUCCUGACUAAUUCACUUUAGAAUGGUUAUUAUACAAAGAAGGAUAUGAAGAAAGAAUAAAUACUGAGGGUGGAUACACAAUUAAAAGAUCAUAGCUGAGAUGGCAGACACUGGUGUAAAUGCUAGCCUCAUCCUCAGUGUGCUUGCAAGAGUGCAGGCGCUCACACGUGGGUCUGUAAAACCUGCGGCAAAUGUGAAGAGCUGCCCAGGUGCUCAAGUGAAGUCCCGGAUGGACCCCUGCUCUCUGUUCUCCCCUUGGGGUCUUACUUCAAAUGUCUGCUAAGGAUGGUUUGCACCCCACAUUGGUGGUCUCAGCCCUGGGGCUGGCAGCCUCUCUCCCCGGGACGCAAAGUCCCUUUCCCAUCCAGACUGCGGCCAGCAGUCUGCUGGUGUUGUGGUCUCCAGACCAGAUCUGCAUGGAAAAUCCCACUGGCCUUGUUGGGACGGCCUCCACUCUGCUGUGUGGAGGGACUGCGCCCACCUGCUGGCUGUGCAGGAACCCAGCCGACACUCUCCAGGGCUCCUGGUCUGUCUAAAGAUAGCAGCGAGGCGCGCUGCUGCUUAUUUUAGAGGGAACGCUGGUGAGGGCAGUAUUUUUAUCUCA